Molecule: ribosomal RNA, 399 nt
Filed under: uncultured bacterium
Lineage: Bacteria
Description: partial 16S ribosomal RNA
Rfam family: Bacterial small subunit ribosomal RNA
Source: RNAcentral
AAUAUUGCACAAUGGAGGGAACUCUGAUGCAGCAACGCCGCGUGAGUGAAGAAGGUUUNCGGAUCNUNAAACUCUGUCAUUGGGGNAGAAUAAAUGACGGUACCCAAUGAGGACGCCCCGGCUAACUACGUCCCAGCAGCCGCGGGAAUACGUAGGGGGCGAGCGUUGUCCGGAAUUACUGGGCGUAAAGGGUACGUAGGCGGCUAUAGAAGUCAGGUGUGAGAUAUCAGUGCUUAACACUGGGAUUGCAUUUGAAACUGUGUAGAUUGAGUGCAAGAGAGGAAAGUGGAAAUCCUAGUGUAGCGGUGAAAUGCGUAGAGAUUAGGAGGAACACCAGUGGCGAAGGCGACUUUCUGGACUGUAACUGACGCUGAGGUACGAAAGCGUGGGUAGCGAACA